CUACGGGACGCACCAGUAGGGAAUAUUGGACAAUGGGCGAAAGCCUGAUCCAGCAACACCGCGUGCACGAUGACGGCCUUCGGGUUGUAAAGUGCUUUUAGAGGAGAUGAGAAAGGACAGUAUCCUCUGAAUAAGCCUCGGCGAACUACGUGCCAGCAGCCGCGGUAAAACGUAGGAGGCAAGCGUUAUCCGGAUUUAUUGGGCGUAAAGCGCGUGCAGGCGGUCUAGCAAGUUGGAUGUGAAAGCUCCCGGCUCAACUGGGAGAGGUCGUUCAAUACUGGUAGACUAGAGAAUAGGAGAGGGAGGUGGAAUUCCGGGUGUAGUGGUGAAAUGCGUAGAUAUCCGGAGGAACACCAGUGGCGAAAGCGGCCUCCUGGACUAUUUCUGACGCUAAGACGCGAAAGCUAGGGUAGCAAACGGGAUUAGAUACCCCUGUAGUC
Molecule: ribosomal RNA, 440 nt
Filed under: uncultured bacterium
Lineage: Bacteria
Description: partial 16S ribosomal RNA
Rfam family: Bacterial small subunit ribosomal RNA
Source: RNAcentral